CGCCUGGGGAGUACGGGUGAGGUAACGGCUCACCAAGGCAUCGACGGGUAGCUGGUCUGAGAGGACGAUCAGCCACACUGGGACUGAGACACGGCCCAGACUCCUACGGGAGGCAGCAGUAGGGAAUCUUGCGCAAUGGGCGAAAGCCUGACGCAGCAACGCCGCGUGGGGGAUGAAUGCCUUCGGGUUGUAAACCCCUUUCAGCAGGGACGAAAAUGACGGUACCUGCAGAAGAAGCUCCGGCCAACUACGUGCCAGCAGCCGCGGUAAUACGUAGGGAGCGAGCGUUGUCCGGAAUUAUUGGGCGUAAAGAGCUCGUAGGCGGUUCAGUAAGUCGGGUGUGAAAACUCAAGGCUCAACCUUGAGACGCCACUCGAUACUGCUGUGAUUUGAGUCCGGUAGAGGAGUGUGGAAUUCCUGGUGUAGCGGUGAAAUGCGCAGAUAUCAGGAGGAACACCAGCGGCGAAGGCGGCACUCUGGGCCGGUACUGACGCUGAGGAGCGAAAGCAUGGGGAGCAAACAGGAUUAGAUACCCUGGUAGUCCAUGCCGUAAACGUUGGGCACUAGGUAUGGGAUCAUAUCAACGGAUUCCGUGCCGUAGCUAACGCAUUAAGUGCCCCGCCUGGGGAGUACGG
This 635-nucleotide ribosomal RNA is filed under the name uncultured Actinomycetes bacterium. RNAcentral describes it as "bacterial SSU rRNA". It matches the Rfam family "Bacterial small subunit ribosomal RNA", at positions 234 to 885 of the family's 1533-position model. The record is from RNAcentral. Lineage: Bacteria; Bacillati; Actinomycetota; Actinomycetes.